GCUACCUGCAGUCGGACGGUAGCACAGGGGAGCUUGCUCUCCGGGUGACAAGUGGCGGACGGGUGAGUAAUGUCUGGGAAACUGCCCGGUGGAGGGGGAUAACUACUGGAAACGGUAGCUAAUACCGCAUAACGUCUUCGGACCAAAGUGGGGGAUCUUCGGACCUCACGCCACCGGAUGUGCCCAGAUGGGAUUAGCUAGUAGGUGGGGUAACGGCUCACCUAGGCGACGAUCCCUAGCUGGUCUGAGAGGAUGACCAGCCACACUGGAACUGAGACACGGUCCAGACUCCUACGGGAGGCAGCAGUGGGGAAUAUUGCACAAUGGGCGCAAGCCUGAUGCAGCCAUGCCGCGUGUAUGAAGAAGGCCUUCGGGUUGUAAAGUACUUUCAGCGGGGAGGAAGGCGGUGAGGUUAAUAACCUUGCCGAUUGACGUUACCCGCAGAAGAAGCACCGGCUAACUCCGUGCCAGCAGCCGCGGUAAUACGGAGGGUGCAAGCGUUAAUCGGAAUUACUGGGCGUAAAGCGCACGCAGGCGGUCUGUUAAGUCAGAUGUGAAAUCCCCGGGCUUAACCUGGGAACUGCAUUUGAAACUGGCAGGCUUGAGUCUCGUAGAGGGGGGUAGAAUUCCAGGCGUAGCGGUGAAAUGCGUAGAGAUCUGGAGGAAUACCGGUGGCGAAGGCGGCCCCCUGGACGAAGACUGACGCUCAGGUGCGAAAGCGUGGGGAGCAAACAGGAUUAGAUACCCCUGGUAGUCCACCCCCUAAACGAUGUCGACUUGGAGGCUGGUUCCCUGAGGAGUGGCUUCCGGAGCUAACGAGUUUAAGUCGACCCGCCUGGGGAGUACGGCC
This 850-nucleotide ribosomal RNA is filed under the name uncultured bacterium. Its description in RNAcentral is "bacterial SSU rRNA". It matches the Rfam family "Bacterial small subunit ribosomal RNA", at positions 50 to 887 of the family's 1533-position model. The record is from RNAcentral.